This 115-nucleotide ribosomal RNA is filed under the name Paenibacillus sp. Lineage: Bacteria; Bacillati; Bacillota; Bacilli; Caryophanales; Paenibacillaceae. The record is from RNAcentral.
UGGUGGCGAUGGCGGAGGGGUUCCACGCGUACCCAUCCCGAACACGACCGUUAAGCCCUCCAGCGCCGAUGGUACUUGGACCGAAGGGUCCUGGGAGAGUAGGACGUUGCCAAGC